RNAcentral lists this ribosomal RNA (436 nucleotides) under Clostridium novyi B str. NCTC 9691. RNAcentral describes it as "bacterial SSU rRNA". It matches the Rfam family "Bacterial small subunit ribosomal RNA", at positions 1102 to 1533 of the family's 1533-position model. The record is from RNAcentral. Lineage: Bacteria; Bacillati; Bacillota; Clostridia; Eubacteriales; Clostridiaceae.
CCCUUAUUGUUAGUUGCUACUAUUAAGUUAAGCACUCUAACGAGACUGCCGCGGUUAACGUGGAGGAAGGUGGGGAUGACGUCAAAUCAUCAUGCCCCUUAUGUCUAGGGCUACACACGUGCUACAAUGGCUGGUACAACGAGCAGCAAACCCGUGAGGGGGAGCAAAACUUGAAAGCCAGUCCCAGUUCGGAUUGUAGGCUGAAACUCGCCUACAUGAAGUUGGAGUUGCUAGUAAUCGCGAAUCAGCAUGUCGCGGUGAAUACGUUCCCGGGUCUUGUACACACCGCCCGUCACACCAUGAGAGCCGGUAACACCCGAAGCCCGUGAGGUAACCGUAAGGAGCCAGCGGUCGAAGGCGGGAUUGGUGAUUGGGGUGAAGUCGUAACAAGGUAGCCGUAGGAGAACCUGCGGCUGGAUCACCUCCUUUCUAGGGA